UGGGUGGAUAAGAGAAGCUUUGGUUAGGUAGAGAAUUUCGAUUGAAAGGAAUGAAAUUCUGAUUAUAGGUACUGAUUCUGUGAGGUGGUACAUUGGUUUGAAAGCUUUUACUGAAGGGCUUAAUUUUUUUACUACUCUCCACCAGCUGUUCUUGAAGCUUAGCAUGCUCACAUGUUUAUAACAACAAAUUAGGCUUUAACAUCCUCACCAUUGGCCUGAUCUCAUUCUUGAUUCCCCCAAUAAACACAAACAGAAAGUAAGAUUCUCCAAGAUUCGGCAUUAAUGUUUUCAUUCUCACCUUUAGUUCUUCAAAUUUGUCUUGGUACAUUCCAAUACUACCAUCUUGUCUGACCUGCAUGAACUCAUCUACCACAUCUUCCAGCUCAAGUUUCCCAAACCUCGCAAACAGGGUUUUUUUCAAAUUCCUCCCACACAUUAGCUCUAUCGUUCUUCUUCCAAUUAUGAUACCAAGCGUCUAUCCUAUCUAUCAAAAAAAGGCUAGCAAUCCCCACUCUUUGAUCUUCCGACACCUUAUACACCUCGAAAUAGUUUAUGCACUUUCUAAUCUAUGCUCUAAGCUCGGUUCCUUCAGAAGUAAUUAACUUAAUUUUAGAAAGAUGAUUACCUCUAGAUUCAGUGUUUGGUACCACUGACCGCAGGUCCUGGAUGAGUGUUACUGCCUUGAUCUUUCUGAGUUUCUGCCAUCUAAUCCUUAAGGAUAAGUAAGAUUCCUCGGCUCUCAAUACUAACCCUGUCUCCUUCGACAUCUUUCCUUUUACUUCUUAUCAACUGGAUUAGUAAGGCCUUUAAUUCAUCUAGAAUAGAGGUCUUGAUAUCAGUUAUGUUUUUUGCUAUCUCUUCUCGAAUACACAGCCUCAUUUCUUAGAAUUCCUAUGGAAACUUUGGUACAGAUCUUGUACUUGCUCCUCAACCUGCAUCAGUUUCACAGCUUCGGCAUUCACUAUCUGCAAUCUUGUCAUCCUUCAAUUCUACAAAAGAAUCUUUUCAUCGGAGAUUGAAAUAAUUUACCAUCCGCCAUUUAUGAGCACCUUAGUCGUCCAAUUUGCUUGGUGUCAAAACGAAGCUGGCGGGACGGGAAUGAAGAUCCCGAGGUCUAAUCCAUUUGGUUGUUGGUUGGCCGGAGUCAGCCUUGAAAGUUUUAGCGUCCUCAAACUUCUCUUUCUCCGAUCUCCCUCUUCUGACCAGCCAUUAGAUGUGAGAACCAUCGAUGGAAGGAACAGAGCAUCUCCCACCAGAUUGUGAGCUGAAGUUGGGGCAAGUCUACCGUGUUCUGCCCAUUUUAAACUCUGCUGCAAUGAUUUCUACUGCUCAAACAGCUGGCGGUGUGAAAGAGGAUCAAAGCGGUCAUUACAAAGCAACAACUUAAGCAGUUACUGACACAGCAGGUUCUUCUGAGGCUCGAGAGGACAAGUUGAGUCCAAGAGAGGCAAAGAUAAAGAAGACGUCACCCCACGCUCAGCUCUAGGCCAAUGUCUGAAUCCCAUGUUAUUUGUCAUGCAAGCUUUAACUCUCUAACUAAUGAAGUUUCCGGUUAAAGAUGCUCCAA
Manihot esculenta (cassava) is the source of this 1567-nucleotide long non-coding RNA. RefSeq lists it as uncharacterized. The transcript has 2 exons. The record is from RefSeq and is a predicted model, not a curated record. NCBI's taxonomy places the organism in Eukaryota, Viridiplantae, Streptophyta, Magnoliopsida, Malpighiales, Euphorbiaceae.